AUUGAACGCUGGCGGCAGGCUUAACACAUGCAAGUCGAGCGGGGUGAUGGUGCUCGCACUAUCACUUAGCGGCGGACGGGUGAGUAAUGCUUAGGAAUCUGCCUAUUAGUGGGGGACAACAUCUCGAAAGGGAUGCUAAUACCGCAUACGUCCUACGGGAGAAAGCAGGGGAUCACUUGUGACCUUGCGCUAAUAGAUGAGCCUAAGUCGGAUUAGCUAGUUGGUGGGGUAAAGGCCUACCAAGGCGACGAUCUGUAGCGGGUCUGAGAGGAUGAUCCGCCACACUGGGACUGAGACACGGCCCAGACUCCUACGGGAGGCAGCAGUGGGGAAUAUUGGACAAUGGGGGGAACCCUGAUCCAGCCGUGCCGCGUGUGUGAAGAAGGCCUUAUGGUUGUAAGGCACUUUAAGCGAGGAGGAGGCUCUUUUGGUUAAUACCCAAGAUGAGUGGACGUUACUCGCAGAAUAAGCACCGGCUAACUCUGUGCCAGCCGCCGCUGUAA
This 503-nucleotide ribosomal RNA is filed under the name uncultured bacterium. Its description in RNAcentral is "partial 16S ribosomal RNA". It matches the Rfam family "Bacterial small subunit ribosomal RNA", at positions 30 to 523 of the family's 1533-position model. The record is from RNAcentral.